GACCAGUUAGCGUAGUUGGAAGCGCGCCUGUAUAGUGUUCACACUGUCCUCGUAGACUUGUGCGGGAGGCUUCGGUUCGAAUCCGGGACAGGUCG
Mycena rebaudengoi is the source of this 95-nucleotide non-coding RNA. The record is from the annotation of a GenBank genome assembly. NCBI's taxonomy places the organism in Eukaryota, Fungi, Basidiomycota, Agaricomycetes, Agaricales, Mycenaceae.